RNAcentral lists this transfer RNA (38 nucleotides) under Paguma larvata (masked palm civet). RNAcentral describes it as "partial tRNA-Glu". The record is from RNAcentral. Lineage: Eukaryota; Metazoa; Chordata; Mammalia; Carnivora; Viverridae.
UUCUUAUAGUUGAAAUACAACGAUGGUUUUUCAUAUCA